Molecule: long non-coding RNA, 209 nt
Organism: Helicoverpa zea (corn earworm)
Lineage: Eukaryota; Metazoa; Arthropoda; Insecta; Lepidoptera; Noctuidae
Exons: 2
Source: RefSeq, a predicted model, not a curated record
AGUUACGUCGUCAGUUCAAUCGCGACGUGUCAGGAACGCAUUCUCUGAAUGGCCGAACUAUAGUCUUGAUUUGAUCUAAGCAUCUUAUAUAAAAAAAAUACUAACUAAUGUGAAUAAUAUAGGCAUACUGUAUCUAUACUAAAAUUGUCUAAAAAGUAUUAUAUAUCAAUACUCUUGAUUAGAAAAAUAAAUAUUUACUUAGUUAUUCA